ACUUGUGACUGUGUUUCAUUGUAAGAUUUGUGUGUUCAUAUAAAGAGGGUCUCUGUUUUGAAAAGACAUACAUUGCCUAAUUUUGCAUUUUGCAUUUUACUUUUUUGUGUGUUCAUUAAACAAAGAGUCAACUCAUCUGCUAAAGCAGAAAGAAGUGACAAACAAAGCAAAUUUACUGAAAUCACGUUCAUUAAAAAAGGAUUAAUCUGAUCAGCUGAAACAGCAAGAACUCAGAAACAGAGGAGAUUUUCUGAAAAAUGCCUGCAAGCUUACCCUAGAUAUCAAUACUGCAAACAGAAACCUCCUGUUAUCUGAAGGAAAUCUGAAGGUGUCAUCCAGUGAGGAAGUUCAGGAUUAUCCCGACCACCCUGACAGAUUUGAUUGCCGACGCCAGAUUCUUUGCAAAGAAGGAUUAUCUGGGAGUUGCUUUUACUGGGAGGUGGAGAGAAAUGGGGCAGGAGCUGAAAUAGGAAUUGCAUAUAAGGGAAUCAGCAGAAAGACUGGAGUAAACACUGUUUUAGGGCAUAAUAAUAAGUCCUGGAAUCUGUUCUGCUCCAAUUCCAUUUACGUUGCAUGGCAUGAAAACAAAGAAACUAAAAUAACAGCAUCUUUUUGCUCCAGUAUUGGGAUGUAUCUUGACUAGUCUGCUGGCACUCUGUCAUUCUAUACUGUUUCACAGCCAAUGAUUCUCCUGCACAGGUUCAAGACCACCUUCACUGAACCAGUCUAUCCAGGAUUUUGCCUUUAUUACUCCGACUCAAGUGUAAUAAUGUGUCAUCUGACGUAGUCAGUUCAUUUACUGCCUUUACUGGCUUUCUCUCUGUGGUACUAAGUUUGACUAGUUAUUUAUGGGACAAGGUAAAGGGCAUCGAUUUCUGCAAAUAUAUCAGAGUUACUUUAAAUUACUCUGAGAACAGUAGCAAAAUAAAUACACAUAAAAUACAUCAAAGUCUUAUUAAUAAUAUUUAUAUGCAAUUUGUAACAAAUAAGUGUUUCUGUAUUGCUGUGUUAUACAAUAUGGCAAACUUAUCUUUUUAUAUAAUAUGCUACCGUGGCUGUUCGUUUGUCUGUCCAGGAUUUUAAAUCAGCUGUAGCUCGCAAACCGUUUCACGUAUUGACCUGAAAUUUGAUACACAUAUACUAUGUGAUGUGUACUAUCCGCUUUCGGGGUGAUGAUUUUUAUUACUCUUUUUAUUUUUAUUUUAUUUUAUUGUAGAAUCAACUCUCGGCAGUGCGCAGCAAGGCGGCCGUGUGGCGCGUGUGUACGUGCAAUGUUCUCAUUCCCUACCACCUUCACGGUCACUUCCCCUACCUCUUGAGGCAGAUUGAAGUGAAAAAUGAAAGAAAAUGUACUAAGUAAUUCCAACACAAAAACUAACUUAAUCAGCGAAAAGAUGCCGAUGAAAGAAGAGAAGCAGCGGGCCGCUAGAAAAGAAGAGCUGCUCAGGAAGCAGCAAGCGCAUCAACCUCUGAGUAAAUGAAGGCUAAACAUGCAGAGAGAGUGUGAAAACUAUGAAUGCUCAAGUCAAGUGUAUUCAGAGCACGUUAUCGUGCAGUACGCCGUUACUGGUGUUUUAUAAUUUGCAUAUAUUCCUAGUAUGCAUUUCAUGUAUUUUAUAUCUGCUUUUGUUGUUUCUGCUGUAACAAAACUAAAAUUAACCCGUGAUUUUGUUGUAAUACAAUACUAUUAUUUUUUCCUUUGUAACAUACAGUAUUUUCUUUUAAUUUUGACAGUUUAUUUUGCAAAUAUUUUCAGGAAAGUAAUAAAGUACUAACUGAUUCAAAUGUCACAUGAUCUGAAGCUGAACAAAAAGAAAGAUGUGUUUGUUGUUGUAUUGAAAUCUGGCAUUUUGCGGGGAUUUUGUGGGGAUUGUGUCCCUUCGACUAUGACCAUAAUAAACUAGUUUUAGAAUGGAUGGAGAGAAAGUUUG
Long non-coding RNA from Erpetoichthys calabaricus (reedfish), 1931 nucleotides. RefSeq lists it as uncharacterized. Lineage: Eukaryota; Metazoa; Chordata; Cladistia; Polypteriformes; Polypteridae. The record is from RefSeq and is a predicted model, not a curated record. The transcript has 3 exons.